CUACACAUGCAAGUCGAACGAGAAAGGGGAGCAAUCCCUGAGUAAAGUGGCGCACGGGUGAGUAACACGUGACUAACCUACCCUGGAGUGGGGGAUAACUGAGGGAAACCUUAGCUAAUACCGCAUAACACCUACGGGUCAAAGGAGCAAUUCGCUUCAGGAGGGGGUCGCGGCCGAUUAGUUAGUUGGCGGGGUAAUGGCCCACCAAGACAGUGAUCGGUAUCCGGCCUGAGAGGGCGCACGGACACACUGGAACUGAAACACGGUCCAGACUCCUACGGGAGGCAGCAGUGGGGAAUUUUGCGCAAUGGGGGAAACCCUGACGCAGCAACGCCGCGUGGAGGAUGAAGUACUUCGGUACGUAAACUCCUUUCGAUCGGGACGAUAAUGACGGUACCGGAAGAAGAAGCCCCGGCUAACUUCGUGCCAGCAGCCGCGGUAAUACGAGGGGGGCGAGCGUUGUUCGGAAUUAUUGGGCGUAAAGGGUGCGUAGGCGGUUUGGUAAGUCUCUUGUGAAAUCUAUGGGCUCAACUCAUAGACUGCAAGGGAAACUGCCGGGCUUGAGUGUGGGAGAGGUGAGUGGAAUUUCCGGUGUAGCGGUGAAAUGC
RNAcentral lists this ribosomal RNA (608 nucleotides) under uncultured bacterium. Its description in RNAcentral is "bacterial SSU rRNA". It matches the Rfam family "Bacterial small subunit ribosomal RNA", at positions 49 to 689 of the family's 1533-position model. The record is from RNAcentral.